UCAACCUACGGGGCGCAGCAGUAGGGAAUCUUCCACAAUGGGCGCAAGCCUGAUGGAGCAACACCGCGUGAGUGAAGAAGGGUUUCGGCUCGUAAAGCUCUGUUGUUGGAGAAGAACGUGCGUGAGAGUAACUGUUCACGCAGUGACGGUAUCCAACCAGAAAGUCACGGCUAACUACGUGCCAGCAGCCGCGGUAAUACGUAGGUGGCAAGCGUUAUCCGGAAUUACUGGGGGUAAAGGGUGAGUAGGCGG
This 252-nucleotide ribosomal RNA is filed under the name uncultured bacterium. RNAcentral's name for it is "partial 16S ribosomal RNA". It matches the Rfam family "Bacterial small subunit ribosomal RNA", at positions 334 to 578 of the family's 1533-position model. The record is from RNAcentral.